Melanotaenia boesemani (Boeseman's rainbowfish) is the source of this 135-nucleotide small nucleolar RNA. RefSeq annotates it as small nucleolar RNA SNORA47. NCBI's taxonomy places the organism in Eukaryota, Metazoa, Chordata, Actinopteri, Atheriniformes, Melanotaeniidae. The transcript has a single exon. The record is from RefSeq and is a predicted model, not a curated record.
UGGAGGACUGAGAAAGUUGAACAGCUUCUGUUGUGCUGUUGUAACUGGUUUUUGCCUCCAAGAAUAACUAACAAAUCACAUGGUUAAGUCACUCUGGCAUACACGGAGUUGAUGUGUGUGUUUGUGGAUCAUUUA